GCCUCAGUAAAGAACUGGUGGGUCUGUACCAUGCACAUACCCAAAAAAGAGUGUGGCACGAGAGAUGACAGAUGACAGCAACAAAACCAGUGUGGGGACUGCGGGGAACUCUCAGGUUGAUUUUAAAGAGGAAGUCUGAAUAGGAAUCAUUUACUACUCCCAUGAUUACACAAGAAAAUGAUAUCAUCAGCAGGAUGAAAGACUGUACAGAGAGACAGCAACAUUCAUUACUUCCCAGCUGAAAUCAGGACUCAACCUGGAAACAAAAGCUUCGGUUCCUCUGCGGUUGGGUAAUUAAACACAGAAGGGGCUGAACAGAAAAGGCUUUUCAUUUGCCACUACACAGACCCUAAAGUGAGCUGGUGUGGAAGACAGGCUGUGAAGAGGAAGAGCAAGUCAGUACUGAUAUCAAAGACAAGAGCUGGAAGGAGCAGCUAUAUUAAAACCCAUUAUGAGAUGAGC
This 462-nucleotide long non-coding RNA is filed under the name Manacus vitellinus (golden-collared manakin). RNAcentral's name for it is "lncRNA (ENSMVIG00005012092.1)". The record is from RNAcentral. Lineage: Eukaryota; Metazoa; Chordata; Aves; Passeriformes; Pipridae.